This 1638-nucleotide long non-coding RNA is filed under the name Helianthus annuus (common sunflower). Its description in RNAcentral is "hypothetical non coding rna". The record is from RNAcentral. Lineage: Eukaryota; Viridiplantae; Streptophyta; Magnoliopsida; Asterales; Asteraceae.
CCUUACUCUGUUGUUUAUCGUUUCUGAUCCUCCUCAAAUGAUAGAUUUAUCAUCCCGCUUUUGUUCUCUACCACAUUUAACGACGGCAUCAUCUCAGCGGCAGUGGCUCAGCGAUGACAUUUUGGUCUGAUGAGAAGUUUGUGAUAGAUUUGAAUUAAAGGGUUAUCAGGGAUGUGGAAUCGGUUAUGAAACCAUGGGGUGGUUCACAGGGAAAAUUAAUUGGUUUAUUGGCUCAUGGUGUAGAAAAAAAACGUCCGAGGCGUCUGUAUUGAGGUGCGUGUCUCGAGGCGAGACGGGAAGAAAUCGUUUUUGAGGCGGCGCAUCGCUGGUUAAUUAUGUUUCGCAUACCCCAAUAGUAUUGACAAAAGAGAUCACUCUUGCAGUGUCAUUCUUGAUUCAUUUGAGCUUUGGUAAUUAGUUUCACUGGUAUAAUCAUUGUUUUUGUUCAUCACCUGUUCAUGAGAUGGAUUCCAAGAUUUUGAAGAACUAGAGGUAUGCAAGGAAGCACAUGAAAUAGAGUGGGAAAAUUUCUAUAGAAAAAUAUAUGUUUUGAGGUUAGUUGUCAUUUUUUUAGUUUUUGUUAUCAACUAGAACUUUUAGGGGUGUUGUUGGGUUUCUAGUUUUUCUGCUUGGCUUAAUCGGGUAUUUUCAAUUUGAAAAUGUAACCAAUACUUGAACUAAUUUAUCGUAGUUUAAGUCUUUUUUUUCUUUAUGGGUUUCGUUAUACUUAAAAGACAAAAGCAUUGUAACUUAAAUAUAAUAUUGCAUACACUUGAAUGGAACCGAAAAUGCAACGGGUGAACCGAUUACCCGAUUCUUAAAAUCCGACCUACUUGAACUGGCUUACUCGAAUCUUAAACGGGUCAGUGGGUUUAUUAAGGCAUCCAUUGUUUUUGACGGGCCUAAGAACAUUAAUUUAAUCACCAGGCUUUUAAAUUUGGUGUAGAUUUAAUAUGAUGUUAUUUGUGGAUAUCUUUUUGUGUCAAACUUUACCUUUCUUUUUUAUGAAAAAACGACAGGUUUUAAUGUUUACUUAUUUUUGCCAAAACAUGUUUUGACCGUAAUCAAUAUGACCAUUCAUUUUGACCUGACACUGGCUACUUGAUCUUUGUUCUCUUGAUCUAGUCUUGAAAGAUGCAAACUUUCACUGUUUCACAUAACUACAUUUUUCUGUUCAACUUUUUAACACUUUACCUCAUAUUUCUAUAUCAUGUUACUAUUUUCUUGUGUUUUUACAGACUUUGACAGCUCUAGCAACUUCCUUUCAUGUGCUACAACCUUUGACAUAUUCUAUAUCUCGCUUUGUAUGGGUUAAGUUACUAAGUGACAUAAAUUUCCCGCCGAAACAAUGAGUAGAAAUGGUCUGAAGAGGUGACCAUAGUUCCAACAUUUGAUGGUAGAAAUGUUUAACGGAGCCUUUCUUGAGGAACGUUGAACUUGUAUCUUUACCAGAAUUAUACCAUCUGACAGACAUCAACAAAGCUUGGAGGCUCUGAUGUGGGAGCUAUCAAACAACUAUCACUUGAAGAUCAAGACGAGUAGAAUAUUCUCUUUAUUAUUAGGAUGUUAUAUGUUGAUGUUAUACUAUAACUAUUAGGAUGUUAUAUGUUGAUGGUCUAUUUAUAAAAUUGGUUUUAU